GUUCAAAAGCGGCGCGCGGGGUACGCGCGAGCCCCGGCCCGGGAUGGCGGAGGCCUUGAACCAUUUAAAAAAAGACUACAGAGCAAGAUUCUGCCAUGGAGGAGGAAGUAAGAUUGAUGUACAGCCAGGUCAAAACGUACUGAAACUCAUAGAGGAUUGUUUUGAAAGUAAGCUCUUAUUUGGUGUUUUACUCAAUUUGCUGGUAAAAGAAGAAAUAAUUUCUUCUUUAUAUUAUAUUUAGUGGUAAGUAAAUAGAAAUAAAAAUUAGAGAUAAAAUGGAUAAAAAUAAA
Pseudopipra pipra is the source of this 290-nucleotide long non-coding RNA. RefSeq lists it as uncharacterized. NCBI's taxonomy places the organism in Eukaryota, Metazoa, Chordata, Aves, Passeriformes, Pipridae. The transcript has 3 exons. The record is from RefSeq and is a predicted model, not a curated record.